ACACGAUCAUAAAUUUCAAAUCUAAUGAUUUUAUUUCAUGCAAAAGAAAUCCAUGGCUCUGAUACCACUGUUAGAUUUAUUUAGGUAUUUUAUAUGCUUGCAUGUAGAUUUUUUAAAAACAAAAUUCUAACGGAAGCAUAGAUUAAACAAUUUAAUCUAAUGCAUUUUAGAUCUAAUCUAAAGCAUAAAAUACUUGAAUCUAGUUCUUAUGCAUGAAAUAAAAUCACGUAUAUCAGAUCUAAAAAAUAAAAAAUCAAAGGAGGAAAUUGGUUACCUUAACUACUUUCCGUUGUCUUAC
This 298-nucleotide long non-coding RNA is filed under the name Elaeis guineensis (African oil palm). Its description in RNAcentral is "long non-coding RNA (EGUI_LNC048469)". Lineage: Eukaryota; Viridiplantae; Streptophyta; Magnoliopsida; Arecales; Arecaceae. The record is from RNAcentral.